GACGAACGCUGGCGGCGUGCCUAACACAUGCAAGUCGAACGGGGUCCAACCAGUAGCAAUACUGGGGAAGACCUAGUGGCGAACGGGUGAGUAACACGUGAGGAACCUGCCCCGAAGACCGGGACAAGCCGGGGAAACCUGGUCUAAUACCGGAUGUCUUCACCAGACCGCAUGAUCUGGUGAAGAAAUGGAUUCCGCUUCGGGAGGGCCUCGCGGCCUAUCAGCUAGUUGGUGGGGUAACGGCCCACCAAGGCUUCGACGGGUAGCUGGUCUGAGAGGACGAUCAGCCACACUGGGACUGAGACACGGCCCAGACUCCUACGGGAGGCAGCAGUGGGGAAUCUUGCGCAAUGGGCGAAAGCCUGACGCAGCAACGCCGCGUGGGGGAUGAAGGCUCUCGGGUUGUAAACCCCUUUCAGCAGGGACGAUUAUGACGGUACCUGCAGAAGAAGGCCCGGCCAACUACGUGCCAGCCGCCGCCGUAA
Molecule: ribosomal RNA, 485 nt
Filed under: uncultured bacterium
Lineage: Bacteria
Description: partial 16S ribosomal RNA
Rfam family: Bacterial small subunit ribosomal RNA
Source: RNAcentral